This 728-nucleotide ribosomal RNA is filed under the name uncultured soil bacterium. Its description in RNAcentral is "bacterial SSU rRNA". It matches the Rfam family "Bacterial small subunit ribosomal RNA", at positions 30 to 766 of the family's 1533-position model. The record is from RNAcentral.
UGAACGCUGGCGGCAUGCCUUACACAUGCAAGUCGAACGGCAGCGCGGGGCAACCUGGCGGCGAGUGGCGAACGGGUGAGUAAUAUAUCGGAACGUACCCUAGAGUGGGGGAUAACGUAGCGAAAGUUACGCUAAUACCGCAUACGAUCUAAGGAUGAAAGUGGGGGAUCGCAAGACCUCAUGCUCGUGGAGCGGCCGAUAUCUGAUUAGCUAGUUGGUGGGGUAAAGGCCUACCAAGGCAUCGAUCAGUAGCUGGUCUGAGAGGACGACCAGCCACACUGGAACUGAGACACGGUCCAGACUCCUACGGGAGGCAGCAGUGGGGAAUAUUGCGCAAUGGACGAAAGUCUGACGCAGCGACGCCGCGUGUGGGAUGACGGUCUUCGGAUUGUAAACCACUGUCGGGAGGGACGAAUACGCCGCAAGGCGGGUGACGGUACCUCCAAAGGAAGCACCGGCUAACUCCGUGCCAGCAGCCGCGGUAAUACGGAGGGUGCGAGCGUUGUCCGGAAUCACUGGGCGUAAAGGGCGCGUAGGCGGCCUGAUAAGUAGGGGGUGAAAUCCUGCGGCUUAACCGCAGGGCUGCCUUCUAAACUGUCAGGCUCGAGCACAGUAGAGGCAGGUGGAAUUCCCGGUGUAGCGGUGGAAUGCGUGGAGAUCGGGAAGAACAUCAGUGGCGAAGGCGGCCUGCUGGGCUGUUGCUGACGCUGAGGCGCGACAGCGUGGGG